AACGAACGCUGGCGGCAUGCCUAACACAUGCAAGUCGAACGAGACCUUCGGGCCUAGUGGCGCACGGGUGCGUAACGCGUGGGAACCUGCCCUUAGGUUCGGAAUACCUCCCCGAAAGGGGUGCUAAUACCGGAUAAUGUCUUCGGACCAAAGAUUUAUCGCCUUUGGAUGGGCCCGCGUUGGAUUAGCUAGUUGGUAGGGUAAAAGCCUACCAAGGCGACGAUCCAUAGCUGGUCUGAGAGGAUGAUCAGCCACACUGGGACUGAGACACGGCCCAGACUCCUACGGGAGGCAGCAGUGGGGAAUAUUGGACGAUGGGCGAAAGCCUGAUCCAGCAAUGCCGCGUGAGUGAUGAAGGCCUUAGGGUUGUAAAGCUCUUUUACCCGGGAUGAUAAUGACAGUACCGGGAGAAUAAGCUCCGGCUAACUCCGUG
RNAcentral lists this ribosomal RNA (433 nucleotides) under uncultured bacterium. Its description in RNAcentral is "partial 16S ribosomal RNA". It matches the Rfam family "Bacterial small subunit ribosomal RNA", at positions 29 to 507 of the family's 1533-position model. The record is from RNAcentral.